Long non-coding RNA from Manis pentadactyla (Chinese pangolin), 4047 nucleotides. RefSeq lists it as uncharacterized. The transcript is spliced from 3 exons. The record is from RefSeq and is a predicted model, not a curated record. NCBI's taxonomy places the organism in Eukaryota, Metazoa, Chordata, Mammalia, Pholidota, Manidae.
AGAAUUUGAGGACUGAUUCUCAGAACUGGGGAUUCAACUCAGCAAGGGAGUGACAUGGGCUGCUCCUUGGUUUUAAAGGACCUCUCUGGCUGAGUGGGCAGAGGGAGUUUCUGGACGGUGGGAGGGAGGCUUCUGCACCAAUACAGAUAAGCAACAAUGGUGGUAGAAGGAGGUGGAGGCAGAAGGGAGGACUCAGAGGCCCCUCUGGGCUUCAGGGGGCCCAGCAGGAAGUUGGUGGUCAGGAGGCCCAGCAGGAAGCCUACGACCCCCGUGCCCACCCCCACACUGUGCAGGCCUGUGGCUGCCCCAGGGCUGGGAAACGUGCCUGGAAUGUCAGCCACCAGGCCCAAGUGGGACUGUGCCCGUGGGACCCGCCUGACCAGGGCAAGCACCCUGGCCACAGCCCUGCCCACACAUGGAAUCCCUCGGGCCCACUGAACAGGGGGCCCGGAUGCAGCCUCGGAACCCUGCUCAACACAGCUCUGCAGCCACUGCCAAUCCAAGCACCCGAGGCCUGAUUCUCUCAAGAGGCAUCCCUGUGCCCCUGUCUCCAGGCAGGGGUCCAUCCAAGAGGUGGUUGGAAGGUUCCAGAAGGACGCUGCCUGCAGCAGAGAAUUAUCUCGUUCAAACUGCCAGUUGCGUCUUGGAUGAGAAACCCUGCAGAAGAGUAAGGGGUGGGCCCCAAAUCUCUGGACACCUGCCCCACGUCUUCUCACUGACCCCAAGGGCAGCUGACGCUAUUUUGGAGGAAACAACAAAGGGGAAACAUAUGGCAAGACACCCAUUUCUCAGAAAGUCUGGGUUGGAAGUCAGGAGACCUGGGUUCAAGUCCCACAUCUGCCUCUGACUCACAGUGUCACCUUUGGCCACUCACUUCCCCUUGUCUGGCCCUCAGGUUCCUCGUCUGGGGGUGAGGGGGUUGGACCGGCUGAUGUCCCAAGCCUUCCCCAGUUGACAAGAUGCUGUUGAAAUCAGGGCUAGGGAUAUUAUGCCCCCUUCCCAGCCCACCUCACUGUCCUAAAAGCACUGAAGUCCUGAGAGGGUGGCCACAUUCCCAGCUAAUAAACUCACAUGCCGUCUAACACGCAGCUUUGGCACCUUGCGCUGUGAUGACCUGUUACCUGUGUUUCUCAAAGUGAGGCUGCGGGGCAGGGUGUGCGGGCACCCUGCUUUGAGCUGCCUGAGCCAAAGUGCCCAAGCUCUGGGCUGGAAGUGAAUCACCAUGAGUUUGCACUUUGUAUAUUGUAGUCAUUCAUAACGUUGGUCUUUGUUUAUAAUAAUCACCAUGGGAAUGAAAUUAAAAUUCCUCACACCUUCCUUAGAGGCCCUGCAGGACCCGACCCUCUCACUUGCUCUGUUUCAGCCACAGUGGCUGCCCUGCUAUUCUUUGGAUCCACUUAACUUAUUCCUACCUCAGGGCCUUUGCCCUGGCUAUUCCUUCACCUUUGGCACCCCUCUUUAAGGUCACAGCUGCUUCUCAGGGAGGCCCUCUCUGGUCCCCCUAGUUAAGAAGGUCCUGGUCACUCUCCAUCACACCUCCAUACUUUUAUCUCCUCUAAGCCUUUACCAUGGUCUGAAAUGAUGCUGUUUGCUUACUAUCUAUCUGUCCAAAAACAGGGGUUUGUCUGCUCUGUUCUGUGGUGUGACCCCAACACUCUGCAAGGGCCUGACACAUAGUAGGGUCUCAUAGUAGAGGCACAGUGAAUCAGUGAAUAAGACUAGAAUCAUAGAAAUCCUCAGCAGUGGCCCUAGUCUUGAGCUGGAACAUCCGGCAUUUAUUGAGCACCUACUGUGUGCUGACCACUAUGCUACAGCUUCAUCCCUGGGGUGGGUGGUUUCAUCGUCUCAAUUUUGCAGAUAAGACUAAAGCUCCAGGCUUCAGAGCCUCAGAGGAUAGCGUGCCUUGAACCCAGUCUGAGAACUCCAGGGUUUGGGCUUCUUCCGCAAUGAGAGAGACACUGGGAAGGGAGCCGGGCUUCCCCCCCACACACUCCUUUUAUCUAAGACAGAGCCUCCUGAGCACCACCCUGUCCCCACCGCCUGGUGGAGCAACUGGGGCCAGGAUGGGAGCUGGGUGUGUGGACAGCCUGGCCUUGUGCCAGUCAGUGCCAGAAACUGGCUUGGGGAGCAAAGAGUCUGGACCCAGCCUGGUGGGGGGUGAUGCAGGCCACUUGUCCCAAAUGGGCUCCUGGUGUUCCGUGGGGCAUGGAGGGUGGCAGCAGGUACAGGGUACCUCUGGGAGCCCCGAGGUUCAGGCCCCUGCCUGCUUUCCCCUGGAGGUAGAGCGAACCCUAGGGUUCUGGUCUAGCCCUUGCUCAGUUUCAUGAUCUCAGCCUGGCACAGUUCAAGUCAUUCCACAAGCCUUCUCCAAGCAGCCCAGACCCAGAGCUGGGUGAUGCCGAGCAUAGAACAAACUCUGGCUCCCAAAGUCUGCCCUUGAGGGGCCGCCAGGGUGGGCAGGGAAGCAGCAGGUAAACAAUAACCAAAAGUCAGCCUGUAAGUCCUCAGUGCAGAUCCCUCCUUAAACACUUGCUGGCUGUGUGUCCUUGGGCAAAUCUCUUAACUUCUCUGGGCCCCCAUCUGCUUCCCUGGAGAUAAUUGUGCCUCCUACUCCAGGAGAGAUCCCAGCGCAGGAGCUGGCAGAUGGGCAGCGCUGCUGAUUCAAGUGGAAGUUUUCCAAAUUCAAGAUCUACUCUGGAAACAGAAAGGAGGGAGAAGACUGGGUAGCACAGGUUUCCCCUCCAGCUGGGGAAGUUCCCCAGUCCUCCUCCUACCCCCAGAGGAGGCACCUGCCUAACUGGGACUGGAACACCGUGGGAGUUUGGCACAGAAAAGCAGAAGGAAGGGCACUCCAGGCAGAAGGCACAGCCCGGGCAAAGGGUAGGUGUUUUGCUGGUGAGCCUCCUUCUGCCCUUGGGUCUCAGUUCAAAUGCCACCUCCUCACAGGGGCCCUCAUGCUCACCCCCUGUCCUCCAUCUAAGCAGCAGGCCUAUUUUCCUCCUUGAACGAAUGACAAUCUUUCUCAUUUGUUUAUUAUUUGUCUCCCCUGCCAAGCUCCCCCAGUGCAAGGACAAUGCCUGUCCUGUUCAAUGCUCUGUCCUAGAGUCUAGCACAGCACCUGGCAUGCAAUAGAUGCCUAGCAACACAAUGCCCACAAUUUGAACAAGCUACUCUCCCAUUCUGUGCUUCAGUUUCCUCAUCUGGGAAAGCAUCACAAUAACACCCACCUCUUAGGGUUGUUGCAAAAAUUAAAUGAGCCGAUGUUUGUAGAGCCCUAGAACAGCUCCUGGCCCACAGUAGGUGCCCGGCAGAAACAUAUAAAUAAAACACACAUGAACACAUUACAGAGAAUUACAGAUGCAUAGAUUAGAAAGUCAUAAUAUUGUUGGUCACCGAGUUGUAUAAUCUAUUACACUGUGGUUUAUGUUUACAUUUCAUUUUCUAUUUUACUUUUUCCUGACUUUUUAUUUUGACAAAUUGUAAUCCAUAGGAAGUUAAAAAAUAAAAAACAGAACAAUAAAUGCCUCAAUUCACCAGCGGUUGACUUUCUGUUUUGUGUACUUUCCCUCUCACUAGAUAGAAUGAGAAAAAUGAAUAUUUAUACUUUUAUUUUCUUGUCUGACCCAUGUGGCAGCAAGUUGAAGACACCAAGAUCAUUCACCCCUAACCUCUUCAGCUGCUGAUUUUUCUUUUUAAAUCUCUCACUCAAUGGAUGUAUGAAUUCUCUGGAACCAACUGUAACUUGAUUCCUGAUUUUAGAAAUCUGUAAUUCUACAAGUCUACAAAUCCAUGAAUCCUUGAAUCUGGAAAUAUUUGGGUCUAGCAAACAUCAUCUGCGGAUUCUCAGUCUACACGUCUGAGGUUGUCUCUCUCUCUCUCAGUUUCCCGGAUGCUUUCCCCUACGGGUCAAUCAAUCUGCAAGGCGUUGAGCCUGCUACCCUCAGUCAGAUUCCACCACUGGGUGCCUCUGAGCCCUGAUUCCCACUUCCCAGAAGCUGAGGCCUGGGACUGAGCAAGGGGAAAACCCAGCUGAUCCAGGCUCCUACA